RNAcentral lists this ribosomal RNA (462 nucleotides) under uncultured bacterium. RNAcentral's name for it is "bacterial SSU rRNA". It matches the Rfam family "Bacterial small subunit ribosomal RNA", at positions 29 to 526 of the family's 1533-position model. The record is from RNAcentral.
AACGAACGCUGGCGGCAUGCCUAACACAUGCAAGUCGAACGGGAUCCUGGCUUCGGUCAGUUGAGAGUGGCGGACGGGUGGGUAACGCGUGGGAACCUGCCCAGUGGUGGGGGAUAACUGCGGGAAACUGCAGCUAAUACCGCAUGAGCCCGAGAGGGGAAAGAUUUAUCGCCAUUGGAGGGGCCCGCGUUCGAUUAGGUAGUUGGUGAGGUAAUGGCUCACCAAGCCGACGAUCGAUAGCUGGUCUGAGAGGAUGAUCGGCCACACUGGGACUGAGAUACGGCCCAGACUCCUACGGGAGGCAGCAGUGGGGAAUAUUGGACAAUGGGGGCAACCCUGAUCCAGCAAUGCCGCGUGAGUGAUGAAGGCCUUAGGGUUGUAAAGCUCUUUUGGCGGGGACGAUGAUGACGGUACCCGCAGAAUAAGCCCCGGCUAACUUCGUGCCAGCCGCCGCGGUAAUAC